AUUUUAUUUUUAUAAUUUUUGUUUUUAUUUAAUUUUGUGGAUUUUAUAGUGAUUUUCGAUUUGAUUAUGUUAAAAUUUUAUUUUUUUCUUUUGUUAUUUAAUUUUAUUUAAUUUUUUUAUUGGAAUGUUUUCUUUAUUUUUUAUUGGAUUGUAAUUAUUGUGGAAUUAGUAAAUCUGUUUGUUGUGUUGUUUAUAUUUUUGUUUAAUUUCUUUUGAGGAAUUAGGCAAAAUUUUUGUGUCCGCCUGUUUAACAAAAACAUCUUUUCUUGUUAGUUUUUGAAGUAUGGCCUGCCCGCUGACUUGAGUGUUGAAGGGCCGCGGUAUUUUGACCGUGCAAAGGUAGCAUAAUCAUUAGUUCUUUAAUUGUGAUCUGGAAUGAAUGGCUUGACGAGGCACAAGCUGUCUUAAUGUUGAAUGUUUUAUUGAAUUUGGUUUUUGAGUUAAAAUUCUUAGAUGUUUUUGUGGGACGAGAAGACCCUAUAGAGUUUAACAUUUGGUUUAUUUGUUUGUUUGUUGUUUGUUUGUUUUAUUGGUGAGUGGACUUUUUGUUUUGUUGGGGUGAUGGGAGGAAUAUAAUUAACUCCUCUUGAUUUUGGUUAUAUUGAUUUAUAUUUAUUUGAUCCAUUUAUUUUGAUUAUAAGAUUAAAUUAC
Molecule: ribosomal RNA, 651 nt
Filed under: Coptotermes formosanus (Formosan subterranean termite)
Lineage: Eukaryota; Metazoa; Arthropoda; Insecta; Blattodea; Rhinotermitidae
Description: partial large subunit ribosomal RNA
Rfam family: Bacterial large subunit ribosomal RNA (bases 213-408)
Source: RNAcentral